This 322-nucleotide ribosomal RNA is filed under the name uncultured eukaryote. Its description in RNAcentral is "partial 18S ribosomal RNA". It matches the Rfam family "Eukaryotic small subunit ribosomal RNA", at positions 1470 to 1796 of the family's 1831-position model. The record is from RNAcentral.
CCCUUAGAUGUUCUGGGCCGCACGCGUGCUACACUGAGUGGAUCAGCGGGUCAGGUUGCGCGAAAGCGUUUCCUAAUCUUUAAAUCCGCUCGUGAUGGGGAUUGACGGUUGCAAUUUUCUGUCAUGAACGAGGAAUACCUUGUAAGCGCGGGUCAUCAUCCCGCGCUGAAUACGUCCCUGCCCUUUGUACACACCGCCCGUCGCUCCUACCGAUUGAGUGGUCCGGUGAGGCUUUGGGAUCUGAGCGGAAAGAGCGUUUCGCUGUUUCUGCUCGGAAAACUCAGUCGAACCUUAUCAUUUAGAGGAAGGAGAAGUCUUAACA